This 817-nucleotide ribosomal RNA is filed under the name uncultured bacterium. RNAcentral's name for it is "bacterial SSU rRNA". It matches the Rfam family "Bacterial small subunit ribosomal RNA", at positions 636 to 1452 of the family's 1533-position model. The record is from RNAcentral.
UNUGACUUGAGUGCAGAAGGGGAGAGUGGAAUUCCAUGUGUAGCGGUGAAAUGCGUAGAUAUAUGGAGGAACACCAGUGGCGAAAGCGGCUCUCUGGUCUGUCACUGACGCUGAGGCUCGAAAGCGUGGGUAGCGAACAGGAUUAGAUACCCUGGUAGUNCACGCCGUAAACGAUGAGUGCUAGGUGUUAGGCCCUUUCCGGGGCUUAGUGCCGGAGCUAACGCAAUAAGCACUCCGCCUGGGGAGUACGACCGCAAGGUUGAAACUCAAAGGAAUUGACGGGGGCCCGCACAAGCGGUGGAGCAUGUGGUUUAAUUCGAAGCAACGCGAAGAACCUUACCAGGUCUUGACAUCCCGAUGCUAUUCUUAGAGAUAGGAAGUUACUUCGGUACAUCGGAGACAGGUGGUGCAUGGUUGUCGUCAGCUCGUGUCGUGAGAUGUUGGGUUAAGUCCCGCAACGAGCGCAACCCUUAUUGUUAGUUGUCAUCAUUAAGUUGGGCACUCUAGCGAGACUGCCGGUAAUAAACCGGAGGAAGGUGGGGAUGACGUCAAAUCAUCAUGCCCCUUAUGACCUGGGCUACACACGUGCUACAAUGGUCGGUACAACGAGUUGCGAGCCGGUGACGGCAAGCUAAUCUCUGAAAGCCGAUCUCAGUUCGGAUUGGAGGCUGCAACUCGCCUCCAUGAAGUCGGAAUCGCUAGUAAUCGCGGAUCAGCACGCCGCGGUGAAUACGUUCCCGGGCCUUGUACACACCGCCCGUCACACCACGAGAGUUUGUAACACCCGAAGUCGGUGAGGUAACCUUUUAGGGNCCAG